AAUCGACGGCCGCGCCGCCAUCCAAUCUGGCCGCAGCUCCCCAUCGCCUCUCUUCCAAGCAUCUCUCGUCCGUGCGCCGCCGAUGGGAGGCCUGCCGUCAGCAGCAUCGGCCGCCGCUCCGACGGAUCGCCUACUACGGCCUCUUCGUGCUCUCCCUCCUCGCCUCAUGGGUGCUCCGCGAGGUCGCCGCGUCCCUCCUCCAGUACCAUCCCAUGUUUCUUACAAGUAACUUCUCUAAUAAAUUAUGAAGCUGAUGGUUGUUGAGUUUGCUGAUCACUGUUGCAAUAUGGAGAAACUGCUUUUACUUGCUCAUCAACUCGAUGUAUCUAGUUUUGGUAGUAAUACGGGAGUUUAUCAGACUUUCCAUUCGGAGUAGCACACUCUAAUAGAAUUGCUAAAUUAUUUCAGCAUGUAAUACUGAACUUGGUAUAUACUCUGUUCGUCCAUGGAUUUUCUGGUCCAGAAUUAUCAAUGUUUUGUGAUCUUA
Molecule: long non-coding RNA, 487 nt
Organism: Lolium perenne
Lineage: Eukaryota; Viridiplantae; Streptophyta; Magnoliopsida; Poales; Poaceae
Source: RefSeq, a predicted model, not a curated record